RNAcentral lists this unclassified non-coding RNA (1714 nucleotides) under Hevea brasiliensis (rubber tree). The record is from RNAcentral. Lineage: Eukaryota; Viridiplantae; Streptophyta; Magnoliopsida; Malpighiales; Euphorbiaceae.
AACAAUAAUGUUUUUAUGGAAAAUAUUUUCUUAAAGAAAGUUUUAUUUUUAGAAAUAUAUAUAUAUAUAAUGUUGAAAAUCAAUUGCAAAUUAUUUCCUAGCAUUUGGAGUACAUUGGAAAGUACUGUUUUUCUUUCAAUACAACCAUGAAAUGAUUGGAUCUAUAAGAACUUUAUAUUUUUCUAUUUAUGCUUGAACAUGAUAGAGAAUCACAUAAGAAAAGUCAAUAUGGCUGUCACUACUGCUCACUGGUGUCCAGUGAUGGCCAGGGAUGAUCAACUUUGGUUGUUAGACUAAUGGGCAUGUGCCUAUAUUGUUCCUAAUUUCUUAUAGUCCUUUCCGUUUUAUGAAUAUGUGAAAGUCUAGGACAUGACUUCCUGUUUUGAAAGCAGAAAAUUAUUUUCCUAGAAAACAUAAUAUUUUCCCCUCGGCUAGAAAACAUUUUCUGUUGGCCAAUUGUUUCUAAAUGCCCAAAAUGCUAGAAAGGAAUAUUUGGAAAGUGUUUUCCAGUAACUAUUUUAUGUGAAACAAAUGGAUGAUUAAUUUUAACUUUCAUUAUUGAUUUGCUCCUUUAGUAAACAGUCAUUGGAGGGUGUCUAUCUGUCAACUUUUCUAGUUCAACUGAAUAUCAAAAUGCAAUAUUCAAGGUAAUAUCUUCUGCUAUUGCCAUAUACUGAGUCACUUGUCUUUUCUUGGAACCUGGAUGGCCAGAUAUAUCUUUUUAGGAUGCAUAAUAUUGCUUAUGGUGCCUUCAACUAACCCUACUCUUGGGUCGUGUUGGUGGUCUUGCAAUAAUAAUUUUGAGUUACUUCUUUGGAAUUCGGAAUGAAGAUAAAGGAAGUCUGUGAGAUGCAUGUUGCUACAAUUGAUUCCCUGUUGUUAGCUAGGUUUUCUUAUGUAAUCCAUCCUUAUUGGAUGGACUAUUUCCCUUGCCAUAUUUUAAACUUCAUUUCUUCUAUUUUAAGCACAAAAGUAGAUGACUUGCAAACCAGUAUCACAUUUCCAAUACAGUAUGAUAGCAAUGGGAUCACAAUGGAAAUGGUCUUUUGGCAUUAAUGCAAAUUUAAAAAUAUCCAUUUACCAAUUAUGAUUAAAAUCACUAAUUUUGGAAAUCCUUUUACCCUUAAUAAUACUCAGCUGUCAGUGGGAUGCCAUUUAUCUGUCCUUUCAGAACCCUUGCUCCCUAGAAUCCAUGUGGUGGUGGAAAAUUUACCCCAAACUCUAAUUCAUGACCGCAGCACCAGAGAGCUCCUUUCACACAAUGGAGGGAAAACAUAAUUUUGAGAUAUUCUAUCCAUGAUUAAAGUGCUAAUUUUUCUUUACUAUGGAUGGAUGCCCAAUAAAGUUGGAUUGGAACUGGUCUAUCCUGUCACUUCCCUUGGUGUUGAAGUGGCUUAAUGAUGAAAUAGCUUUCUAAUGCUAAUGGAUAAUAUUAUUUUGCUUCCAAAUACCAUGCAAUGUUACCUUCAAUGAUCUUUCUUAUCAUGCAAUGUUAUCUUAGAUGAUCUUUCUUAUAUCUUUAUGUAAGCAUUCAACUCUUAGGUGGGCUACUAUGCAUGAUAUAAGUUUAAACAAUCAUUUUUAAUUUUUAUCUAUAUCUAAAAAAAUAAAUACUUGAAGUAUAUAAGAUCCUAACUAUCUUAAUGCUUAGUGCUAAGAAAAUCUAUUCUUUAACAAUUCUUAUAUCUUGCAGAGUUCAUGGACAAAAAGGAAU